RNAcentral lists this long non-coding RNA (683 nucleotides) under Astyanax mexicanus (Mexican tetra). Its description in RNAcentral is "lncRNA (ENSAMXG00005012012.1)". The record is from RNAcentral. Lineage: Eukaryota; Metazoa; Chordata; Actinopteri; Characiformes; Acestrorhamphidae.
AGUGAAGGCGGGAAAACUGCAGCGCGCGCGGCUCCUCGCCGAGCACUACGCAGACUCGUAUGGAGUAGCAUAUGGAGGACUGGCAGGUCUUCAGUGAUGAAAACCUAAAGAACUAAAGAGAGGACGCGGAAUUCUCCCGCUUUUGUUUUGUCGCCAAAAGGUCUAAAUUGCCAUUAUCUGAUAAAGUCCAUCAUCUCAUCAGUGCUCAUCUUUACACGCUCAGCAUCUCCAGAGCAGGCAACUGUCACCAUGGAGACACCGCCAUUCUUUUGCUCAUGUGAGGAGAUUAAAAGUGCUCUGCCCAUUACUGACUGGUACAAGCCCUGAGACUUGAAUGGAUGGACAGCCAUUAUGAGAAGAAGAAGAUACCUUUUUCAUUUAGACCAGCUUUUUCUUCAAGGCUGCUGCAAGAACAGAAGCUCACCUUUCCCACAGAAAAACCCUUGGAUUAUGACCAGGAGUUCAUCUACUGCUUUGAAGCCAUGUGUUCAUGGUGGAAUUUGAGAAAGAAGACAGCAGCAGGACUCACAGACAGCUGUGUCCUUAUUGAUUUGUUCCUGUGAGGCAGUAGCAGUUCAGCACUCACAAGGAAAACAUCUGAACAGUGACUCAAACAGGUCAGUGUGUAGCUGUAAAUCACCUAUAAAAUAUUUGUCUGUAUAAGUGUAGUAUUACUAUUUAAU